This 442-nucleotide ribosomal RNA is filed under the name uncultured bacterium. Its description in RNAcentral is "bacterial SSU rRNA". It matches the Rfam family "Bacterial small subunit ribosomal RNA", at positions 958 to 1398 of the family's 1533-position model. The record is from RNAcentral.
AACGCGAAGAACCUUACCAACCUUUGACAUGUCCAGUAUGGGCCUAGGAGACUAGGUCCUUCAGUUCGGCUGGCUGGAACACAGGUGCUGCAUGGCUGUCGUCAGCUCGUGUCGUGAGAUGUUGGGUUAAGUCCCGCAACGAGCGCAACCCUCAUCUUCAGUUGCCACCAUUCAGUUGGGCACUCUGAAGAAACCGCCGGUGACAAGCCGGAGGAAGGUGGGGAUGACGUCAAGUCCUCAUGGCCCUUACAGGUUGGGCUACACACGUACUACAAUGGUGGUGACAGUGGGUUGCGAAGUCGCGAGACGGAGCCAAUCCCCAAAAGCCAUCUCAGUUCAGAUUGCACUCUGCAACUCGGGUGCAUGAAGUUGGAAUCGCUAGUAAUCGCAGAUCAGCACGCUGCGGUGAAUACGUUCCCGGGCCUUGUACACACCGCUAGUC